RNAcentral lists this ribosomal RNA (435 nucleotides) under uncultured bacterium. RNAcentral describes it as "partial 16S ribosomal RNA". It matches the Rfam family "Bacterial small subunit ribosomal RNA", at positions 28 to 507 of the family's 1533-position model. The record is from RNAcentral.
GAUGAACGCUGGCGGUAUGCUUAACACAUGCAAGUCGAACGGACUCUUCGGAGUUAGUGGCGGACGGGUGAGUAACGCGUGAGAAUCUGGCUUUGGGUUCGGGACAACCACUGGAAACGGUGGCUAAUACCGGAUGUGCCGAGAGGUAAAAGAGAAAUUGCCUGAAGAUGAGCUCGCGUCUGAUUAGCUAGUUGGUGAGGUAAAGGCUCACCAAGGCAGCGAUCAGUAGCUGGUCUGAGAGGAUGACCAGCCACACUGGGACUGGGACACGGCCCAGACGCCUACGGGAGGCAGCAGUGAAGAAUUAUCCGGAAUGGGCGAGUGCCUGACGAAGCAAUACCGCGUGGAGAAAGAAGGCUCUUGGGUUGUAAACCUCUUUUCUUAGGGAAGAACAAAAUGACGGUACCUAAGGAAUCAGCAUCGGCUAACUCCGUG